Long non-coding RNA from Anastrepha obliqua, 136 nucleotides. RefSeq lists it as uncharacterized. The transcript is spliced from 3 exons. NCBI's taxonomy places the organism in Eukaryota, Metazoa, Arthropoda, Insecta, Diptera, Tephritidae. The record is from RefSeq and is a predicted model, not a curated record.
AAACAAUUGUCAAAAGUAGUUAGAGAUUUUUUUUAAUAUUUUUUUAAAAUUCCUUCAUUAGCAUAUGUAUAUCAACUUCAUAUUCUUGAAAAUGUUCAUGGGGCUUAUUCCAAAAAAAUAUCAAUUGGACUAAGGG